This 408-nucleotide ribosomal RNA is filed under the name Triticum aestivum (bread wheat). RNAcentral describes it as "partial small subunit ribosomal RNA". Lineage: Eukaryota; Viridiplantae; Streptophyta; Magnoliopsida; Poales; Poaceae. The record is from RNAcentral.
GGUCGGAGAGAGUUGGGGAGGCAGUGCGGGACGACGGCGAUGCAGUGCGGCGGCCGCAGGUGAGGAAGACGCAGCGGUGACGAGCGUACAGGGCCUCCCUGCUCGAUUCGAUGCACGUAGGCGAAGGAGACGGCGGAGGUGAAGUUCACGGACAUCCCCCCAAGCGCCGGGGAGCAUGGUGGCCACGGGAUCGACGGAUCCAUGGUGAUGUGUGGUUCGGCCUCAAGCGGGGGAGGAGAGAUUGAGACGAGCGAGGGGAUUGGGGGAGCUAGGGUUUCGCAGAGGGGUCGAUGCCGACCUAGUAGACGCCGGGGAUGUGGCGGAUGGCCGGCACAUGGCCAUCCGCGGCCACGGACGCCGGGCGCGCGACCAGCACGCCGCUAUGAGCAGUAGGAAGGAGAAACAGGG